GCCGAAGGGAUUUUAACUACAAUGUUUGGUCUUUGUUUGGUUUUCAGCGUUUGAUUGUUCGGUUUUAGGGUUCAUUAAUAUGUCAGUAAUUGGCAUAGGCGUUUUUCGAAAGCAUGGACGGGGCUGUCGCAGCGAAGCAACUUGUAGCGAUUAAUGCGACACAAGAUUUCUUGCAAGUGAUUUCUUGCUUUCUGGACUAUUGGUUAACAAGAUUUGUUUUUGGAAGCUAGGAGAGGUGGCAAGCCAUAACUGUCAUACCCAGCGAACAGUUUAUGUAACAUUGUUACUGCGGGUUAUUCAGACAUUUCAAAGACGAUCUUAUAUAUGAGGUUUCAUUUGAACAUCCUGGCAAAGAACGACUCCAAUUUUUCAUCAUUUAGAACUUUGGAUUCAAAGAUGAAAGAAAUGACAAAUGCUGCCAUUAGCACGACGAAAAAUGUGACAGACAGAUCCUUUAACGUUAGCAGACGAAGAACUGUUCUCGUCGUCAGGCACUAUACUGGUUACUGAACGAUACUCAUUUGUUAUAUCUCGGACUGGCGUGUGUGUGCAUGCAUGGGAGUGUUGAGUGUGUGUGUGUGUAUUUGUGUGUGUUUGUAUUUGUGUAAGGAUUGUGUGAAGGUACAGCUGUAUUUUUGAGCUUUAUAUUAAAUAAAACUUUUUGCAGUAAACAAUUUGUCUUUGACGCCUUCAAAUGUAACUCAUUAGUAUGCUCUAUGUGGUCACUGGUACGCUCUAUAUAGAGCAUACUAAUGAAGCUACAAAACAAAAGAAAACAAUAGACUCAUUAGUAUGCUCUAUAUAGAAGAGUGCUUCAAAGCCCACACCACUUGACGAAUUAAUAUACUAUGGGAUAUAGACCACUGAAAUACUGUGUUC
This is a non-coding RNA of Paramuricea clavata, 879 nucleotides long. Lineage: Eukaryota; Metazoa; Cnidaria; Anthozoa; Malacalcyonacea; Plexauridae. The record is from the annotation of a GenBank genome assembly.